This 279-nucleotide ribosomal RNA is filed under the name uncultured bacterium. RNAcentral's name for it is "partial 16S ribosomal RNA". It matches the Rfam family "Bacterial small subunit ribosomal RNA", at positions 506 to 784 of the family's 1533-position model. The record is from RNAcentral.
UGCCAGCAGCCGCGGUAAUACGGAGGGUGCAAGCGUUAAUCGGAAUUACUGGGCGUAAAGCGCGCGUAGGCGGUUUGUUAAGCGAGAUGUGAAAUCCCCGGGCUCAACCUGGGAACUGCAUUUCGAACUGGCAAGCUAGAGUGUAGAAGAGGGGUGUGGAAUUUCCGGUGUAGCGGUGAAAUGCGUAGAGAUCGGAAGGAACAUCAGUGGCGAAGGCGACACCCUGGUCUAACACUGACGCUGAGGUGCGAAAGCGUGGGUAGCAAACAGGAUUAGAUA